This is a long non-coding RNA of Gorilla gorilla gorilla (western lowland gorilla), 668 nucleotides long. RefSeq lists it as uncharacterized. Lineage: Eukaryota; Metazoa; Chordata; Mammalia; Primates; Hominidae. The record is from RefSeq and is a predicted model, not a curated record. The transcript has 4 exons.
CCUUAGAGAAAAUCUGUGUCUUGUAGCUUUUUUGGCUGAAAUCCACUUUUAUUAUAUUGGAGACUUAUUGGUGUAGUGUAUGGUGUGGAACAGAGGGAGCACUCUAAAAUCAUCUGUGUCUUGGUCUUUUAGUGGGCUUGUGUCUUGGGAGAUAACCUUCGCAAGUGUUUCAAUUUCUCCUCCAGGGGGAUAGUUUUUUUCCCAUUGCUCCCCAUCCCUGGCUGUGGCAUUCUCAAUCAACUUCCUUGUCGCCUUCUCCCCUGCUGACUAUGGAUUUUUUUGUCCCUUAGGUGAGACGGGAAAGUGGGCUGGAGUUGAGCAGAGUUCCCGUCUCCUAGCUAGGGGCAUACUCUGGAGUACGCAAAUCCAACAGUCCUGACAGAUGAAAGCAGCUUCCUGUAUAGUUGACCUGGAAGGUCAACUUCUUGUCAGAGUUUUACAUGAAUUAUUUUUAUGGUGGAAAUAGAUGGAAAUGUUCCACCAAAAAUGAUUUUUAUCAGGAACUGUUACAGCCACCUCAACCUUCAGCAACACCACUGUUCAAGGCAACAUCCUUCAACAGCAGAAAGAUGACUCGCUGUAUGCUCAGACAUGGGGCCUCACUAUGUUUCACAGGCUGGUCUAAAACUCCUGAGCUCCAGGGAUCUGCCUGCCUCCGCUUCCCAAAG